This is a long non-coding RNA of Ostrea edulis (European flat oyster), 604 nucleotides long. RefSeq lists it as uncharacterized. Lineage: Eukaryota; Metazoa; Mollusca; Bivalvia; Ostreida; Ostreidae. The record is from RefSeq and is a predicted model, not a curated record. The transcript has 2 exons.
ACAUUAAUCAGAAGCUUGAAAAUGACACAGUGCUAUGUGUAUGGCUCAUAAUGGCCUGGCUGUUACUACUAUCAUGGGUAAUUUCCCACGGGAAAUUCCUCAUUGAUUAACAAAUUUCAGUGCACUUAUAAUUAAUAACGAGAAUAGACCGGGAAUUCAUAAAUAACAUGGAAGUCAGUGAAGACUAUCAGGAAAAUGAACAGAAGACAUUGUCGUUGCUGAAAGAAAUUGCAACCAAGACGUGUCAUGCCAACCCGUACAAGAGGCCUAUGGCCGACACCAUCAUCUCAUUGUUGCUGACGGACGGCAGUGGACAGGAAACAACUCGCAAGGUCACAAGGCAGAAUGCCAAGGACGAAGAGACAAACAGACUUUGAUAAAAGAAAUAUACCUCAUUUUUAUAAUUUAAAGUAGAAUUUGCCAAAACAAUAUCAUUAGUACGGCAUGGUAGUCAUGGUAACUGUUGUUCAGUGUACAUUUUAGUGCAUACAAAGGCGAUACAGAUAAAAAAAAAAUCUAAGACGCUUUGUCAAAAUGAACAAACACGUAUUUUAAAUCUAUUUGAAUAAUUCACACAUCUAGACAAUUAAAAAAUAUAAGCAAC